CACACAUCUGUGCUGACAGGUGUGGGAUAUUUAAAUUAUUCAUACUUUUCAUUAUUAUAAUUAAUUGUGGGUUGAACAUCUUGGUAGUCAACCCUCCACAUAGCUACAGGCAUGGCAAUUUCCUUUGGAUGGGAACUUCUUAGAAGUCUAACUGUUGAGGUUUGCAUCCUAUGUCAAGCUCUCCCAGACUGGGUGGUGCUGGCCAAAGGCGUGGGACUUCAUGCUGGGACAGCAUGUACUCUCUGGCCCAGUAGCAUCUUGGACGGUAAACAAAGAACUCAGACCUGAGCAAAGUCAGUGACCCACAGGGCUUGCUCAUAUCAACUACUAGUCACAUGGAUUGUGGACUUUAUUUUACUAUAAGUGAACAAGCCCUGGGGUGCCUGGGUGGCUCAGUCGGUUAAGCAUCCAACUCUUGAUUUCAGCUCAGGUUAUGAUCUCAGGGUCAUGAGAUGGAACCCUACACCAGGCUCCCUGCUAGGUGGGGAACCUGCUUAAGAUUCUCUCUCUCCUUCUCCCUCUGCUCCUCCCCCCAUCUCUUUCUCUCUCUCUUAAAAAAAAAAAAGAAAGAAAGAAAGAAAGAAAGAAAGAAAGAAAGAAAGAAAGAAAAAGAAAAACGUGAACAAGGCCUUCAGAUUCAUAGGCCAAGCUCUAACUGUUCUCUAUAGGAGCAGCCUCGAUGGAAAGUCCAUCUUUCUGAGCAGAGGUAGCCAGUUAACCUUCUGCUUCUUAACAUUUUUGCUCUUGGUAUCUUCAGAUGGUUUUGCUUUCAGAAAUGCAUCUGAGUUUUCUUGAGGAAACUGAGGCACUCAUCUUCUGGCCCCUUAUCUUGCUGAUCUAAAUGUAAACAGAGUCACUGUUAGGUGAGUCCGGGGGUUAAUGUCUUGUAUCCACUUGCUGCAGAGCUCAGAGGGUAGCUCAGGAUUAACACAUAAUUCCUGAAUGGAAGACACCCCUGAGAAGUUUCCUCCAACCCACCCCCCCCCCAACUCUACCCCCAUCAAGUUAGUUGUUAGUGCUCCUGUGAACUUUUGGAACAUGGAGGCUGGAAAUCAAAGGGAAGAAGCUUGGGGAGAUCCCAUGGCAUUGUGUCCCGUGCCUGGCUGUACCCUGCAAGAGAUUUUGUUCCCAGAAUUUCCUUUCAAUUCCAAGAGAAAGGAGUGAACAGAGAGAGGGGCGAGGGGCGGCAGGGGUGGGGGGAAGUGGGAGGCAGAGGAGGACGAUGCCAGCUUCCUGUCAGGCAGUUUCUGGCUGCUUUUUCUCUAGACCAUUAGUUUAUUGAUGGUGGGUUGUCUUUCCAGCAAAUCUCUUUUGAUUGCAAGUGUAUAAUGAAGGAGUGUUUUAGUGUCCUCCUAGCUCCAGGGAGACCUUGCUAGUUCCUUUCAUUCCCACUGAGGUAUCAGUGCUGAGGCUGAUUCAUCUAGAAUUUUAGAGCACCGUUCCAUCUUGAGGGCUUAUGACUACUAUGAGCCAUCAUAAAGGGAAUUCCGACGGUGCUGAGCUAAGUCUUGGAGAGCAGACGGGUUGCUCUUUGUCAAGCCAGGCACAGGAGACAGGUUGGCUGCUGUCCUGACCACAUGCCCAGGAGAACAGCAUUCACAUGGUGGUGUGGGCUGCUCACCUGAAUGGUGGCUUCUGUCUCUGGCCACAAAGCAUCUCCAGAUUCAGGAACUCAAGGCGCUUUCCACAUCACAGACCCUGCCUUGCCGGUCUGACCCUCAGGAGGGUGCUGGAAAGCCUUUGAAUCCUGUUCACUUUCCUGGUGGGAAACGAGAAGAGGUUCCUCUAUACUCUCAUAUGUCUAAUUUUAUUCUUAACCUUUCCACUGGACUGGGCUUCGCCGGGCCCCUCGACUAGAUUGUAACCCUCAUCCAUGUUCCUCUGAUGCCUCAACCCAGCCUAUGGGAAUUUUUUUUUUUUUUUGGCAGACCAGAAAAACCUCAUUCUCACAGAUCAGUGAGCAUAUUCUUCUCUGCCUAUUGUUUAGUCUGGGAUUUGGAUCCUUUUGAAACUCAAAGGAUACAGGCUCUUGAAACUCAGAAAGGCUUUUUUGCUCAAGAUAUGGUUCUUGCCUUGAGUUUCAAAGGCCUGUUUUGAACCUCAAAGGCCAAGCAGUGACUCUUUCUCUCUUUGAAUCCCUGCUAGGAAAAAAAAA
Molecule: long non-coding RNA, 2155 nt
Filed under: Canis lupus familiaris (dog)
Lineage: Eukaryota; Metazoa; Chordata; Mammalia; Carnivora; Canidae
Description: lncRNA (ENSCAFG00000052409.1)
Source: RNAcentral